UACGGGGGGGGCAAGCGUUGUUCGGAAUUACUGGGCGUAAAGGGCGCGUAGGCGGUUGGAUAAGUCAGCUGUGAAAACCACGGGCUUAACUCGUGGCCUGCAGUUGAGACUGUCUGGCUUGAGCGUGGGAGAGGAGAGUGGAAUUCCUGGUGUAGCGGUGAAAUGCGUAGAUAUCAGGAGGAACACCGGUGGCGAAGGCGGCUCUCUGGACCACAACUGACGCUGAGGCGCGAAAGCUAGGGGAGCAAACAGG
This 253-nucleotide ribosomal RNA is filed under the name uncultured bacterium. RNAcentral describes it as "partial 16S ribosomal RNA". It matches the Rfam family "Bacterial small subunit ribosomal RNA", at positions 524 to 776 of the family's 1533-position model. The record is from RNAcentral.